GGGUGAAGCUUUUUAGGUGAAGCUUUGUGGGUGAAGCUUUGGAGGUGAAGCUUUCGGGUGAAGCUUUUGGGUGAAGCUUUUUUAGGUGAAGCUUUUGUGGUGAAGCUUUUAGGUGAAGCUUUUUGGGUGAAGCUUUUUGGGUGAAGCUUUUUAGGUGAAGCUUUUCGGGUGAAGCUUUUGGGUGAAGCUUUUUAGGUGAAGCUUUGAUGGUGAAGCUUUUUGGGUGAAGCUUUUUAGGUGAAGCUUUUUGGGUGAAGCUUUUUAGGUGAAGCUUUGAUGGUGAAGCUUUUUGGGUGAAGCUUUUUAGGUGAAGCUUUGUGGGUGAAGCUUUGGAGGUGAAGCUUUUCGGGUGAAGCUUUUUGGAUGAAGUUGUUUUUUUUUUUUUUUUUUUUUUUUUUUUUUUUUUUUGGCGCUUGACACGGUCUUC
This 427-nucleotide long non-coding RNA is filed under the name Malus domestica (apple). RNAcentral's name for it is "long non-coding RNA (MDOM_LNC014570)". Lineage: Eukaryota; Viridiplantae; Streptophyta; Magnoliopsida; Rosales; Rosaceae. The record is from RNAcentral.